RNAcentral lists this ribosomal RNA (439 nucleotides) under uncultured bacterium. RNAcentral's name for it is "partial 16S ribosomal RNA". It matches the Rfam family "Bacterial small subunit ribosomal RNA", at positions 338 to 795 of the family's 1533-position model. The record is from RNAcentral.
CCUACGGGAGGCAGCAGUGGGGGAUAUUGCACAAUGGGGGAAACCCUGAUGCAGCGAUGCCGCGUGAAUGAAGACGGCCUUCGGGUUGUAAAGUUCUGUCGCAGGGGACGAAAAUGACGGUACCCUGCAAGAAAGCUCCGGCUAACUACGUGCCAGCAGCCGCGGUAAUACGUAGGGAGCAAGCGUUGUCCGGAAUUACUGGGUGUAAAGGGAGCGUAGGCGGGAGGAUAAGUUGAAUGUGAAAUCUAUGGGCUCAACCCAUAGCUGCGUUCAAAACUGUUCUUCUUGAGUGAAGUAGAGGCAGGCGGAAUUCCUAGUGUAGCGGUGAAAUGCGUAGAUAUCGCACAGAACUCCGAUUGCGAAGGCAGCGUACCGGCGCCAGACUGACGCUGAGGCACGAAAGCGUGGGGAUCGAACAGGAGUAGAUACCCCAGUAGUC